GACGAACGCUGGCGGCGUGCUUAACACAUGCAAGUCGAACGGAGAAGCCCUGCUUUUGCGGGGUGCUCAAGUGGGGAAAGGGUGUGUCAGACGGGUGAAAAAUGCGCUGGAAACUGGGAUAACUUCGGGGGACAGGGGCUAAUACCGGCUAGGAGAUCCUGCUGCGCGGAGGGGGUGGGAAAGUUUCGGCGGUUGGGGAUGGACUCGCGGCUUAUCGGCUUGUUGGGGGGGUAGUGGCGUACCAGGGCCUGGACGGGUAGCCGGCCAGCUAGGGUGACCGGCCACACUGGGACUGAGAUACGGCCCAGACUCCUACGGGAGGCAGCAGUGGGGAAUAUUGCACAAUGGGCUGAAGCCUGAUGCAGCAACGCCGCGUGCGGGAUGACGGCCUUCGUGUUGUAAACCGCUUUCGCCUGUGACGAAGCGUGAGUGACGGUACCUGGUUAAGAAGCACCGGCUAACUACGUG
RNAcentral lists this ribosomal RNA (468 nucleotides) under uncultured bacterium. Its description in RNAcentral is "partial 16S ribosomal RNA". It matches the Rfam family "Bacterial small subunit ribosomal RNA", at positions 28 to 507 of the family's 1533-position model. The record is from RNAcentral.